GAUAAUGGUCUCAUAUUUCAAUCACCCUAUGAUGUUGUUCUUCAUAUUGAUGAGAAUAAGAAAUGAAUAUGUGAUGGUCACAUAUCUCUGGCAUUGCCAACUUGGCCAUUUUGUGAGUCAAAGAUAAAUAAGUAAUACAAAGAAGAGUUCUUUGUCUGUAUGAUUUUGAAUCAUAUAUAACUUGUAAAUCUUGUCUUAUGGGUAAAAUGACCAAGAUCUUAUUUACUUGACAUGAUAAUAAGGUGAGCAAGAUAUUAGAUCUUGAACAUAUGGAUGUUCAAAGGCUAAUAAUAUCUCGACCC
This 302-nucleotide long non-coding RNA is filed under the name Elaeis guineensis (African oil palm). RNAcentral describes it as "long non-coding RNA (EGUI_LNC061422)". Lineage: Eukaryota; Viridiplantae; Streptophyta; Magnoliopsida; Arecales; Arecaceae. The record is from RNAcentral.